AUAAACUGUGAUGAUAAUUUCACAAACAGAUUAAUCUAUCAGAAGAUUUGCAGGAGAAACAAGUCAUGUCCAAAAAGAGCAGUAUCAUCAUCAAUCCAUCAUCAACGUGCUUAAGCUAAAAUCUAUUUUCAACUUGAUUUGAUAAUAAAGCAGCUAUAGAAAACAUCGUAUUACAGAAGAAAGAAGCUCAAGGAAAGCAGUCCAACUAUUUCCAUGGCAUCAGGGACAAGGAUUCAUCGACAAGAGAGCACAAUUUUCUAAAAACUGCUCAAAGGCUGACUCCCAAGUCUCAACAUCGGAAGUGGCGUCUUCCACAAGCUCAAAUAGUUGAUGCUUUGGUGUUGCCUGAUAUGAAUGGUUUUGGGGCGAUGUUCUUGCUAGGUGCCAGAAUCCAAGUCUAGAAGGGUUGAUAUUUUUAAGGAUGUUGAACAGAUGAGGAAGAAGACCAUUAAAGAGGAAAAAAAGAAUAUUAAUGGUUGAUGACAAGAAAAAGAAGAUAGCAGAUGAGGAGAAAAAGAAGACUAAUGGCUCAUGACAAGAAAAAGAAGAUGGCUUCAUUUAUGGUUUGGAUGUUGUAAUUAGUUCUCAUUUAUGUUUUCUUUUUUAAAUUCAUGUUUUUAGGGUCACUAUGAUAUAAGAGUGUGGCUAUGGUUUUUUUCAUCUCUCAAAAUAUAUAGAGAUCAAACAGAAGACAGCACAUAGUUACUAGUAUGUAGAUUAUCUUAUUAUGAAUUUGAUUACUUAGCUUGAUCUAUACUAAAUGUCUCAUAGUGACCUUUUUAUCGAGAUAGUAACUGUGAAUUUUUAUGAAA
Molecule: long non-coding RNA, 812 nt
Organism: Beta vulgaris subsp. vulgaris (sugar beet)
Lineage: Eukaryota; Viridiplantae; Streptophyta; Magnoliopsida; Caryophyllales; Amaranthaceae
Exons: 3
Source: RefSeq, a predicted model, not a curated record